CAGAGCAGGCGAGACUACCCGCUGAAUUUAAGCAUAU
This 37-nucleotide ribosomal RNA is filed under the name Locusta migratoria (migratory locust). RNAcentral describes it as "partial 28S ribosomal RNA". The record is from RNAcentral. Lineage: Eukaryota; Metazoa; Arthropoda; Insecta; Orthoptera; Acrididae.